RNAcentral lists this ribosomal RNA (478 nucleotides) under uncultured bacterium. Its description in RNAcentral is "partial 16S ribosomal RNA". It matches the Rfam family "Bacterial small subunit ribosomal RNA", at positions 28 to 523 of the family's 1533-position model. The record is from RNAcentral.
GACGAACGCUGGCGGCGUGCUUAACACAUGCAAGUCGAGCGAUGAAGUUCCUUCGGGAAUGGAUUAGCGGCGGACGGGUGAGUAACACGUGGGUAACCCGCCUCAUAGAGGGGAAUAGCCUUUCGAAAGGAAGAUUAAUACCGCAUAAGAUUGUAGUUUCGCAUGAAACAGCAAUUAAAGGAGUAAUCCGCUAUGAGAUGGACCCGCGUCGCAUUAGCUAGUUGGUGAGGUAACGGCUCACCAAGGCGACGAUGCGUAGCCGACCUGAGAGGGUGAUCGGCCACAUUGGGACUGAGACACGGCCCAGACUCCUACGGGAGGCAGCAGUGGGGAAUAUUGCACAAUGGGGGAAACCCUAAUGCAGCAACGCCGCGUGAGUGAUGACGGUCUUCGGAUUGUAAAGCUCUGUCUUCAGGGACGAUAAUGACGGUACCUGAGGAGGAAGCCACGGCUAACUACGUGCCAGCCGCCGCCGUAA